RNAcentral lists this unclassified non-coding RNA (176 nucleotides) under soil metagenome. RNAcentral's name for it is "partial contains 5.8S ribosomal RNA, internal transcribed spacer 2, and large subunit ribosomal RNA". The record is from RNAcentral.
AACACUGUUAACCUGCGGUACCUGCGGAAGGAUCAUUAGAAAAAUCAAGUCGAGUGCCGCAAGGCGCAAAGGCUUUUUCUAUACCACACACAACUGUGCACGCCUUUGGGCAUUUAAACUAGUUAACUGUAAUGAAUGUAUAAACAAAACAAAAUACAACUUUCAGCAACGGAUCU